Molecule: ribosomal RNA, 258 nt
Filed under: Triticum aestivum (bread wheat)
Lineage: Eukaryota; Viridiplantae; Streptophyta; Magnoliopsida; Poales; Poaceae
Description: partial small subunit ribosomal RNA
Source: RNAcentral
AUGGCAAUAUUCAAGAAGAACACAAGUGCCCAGUGUUUGUUGGCUCUUGUGCUCAUGGCCGCUGUCAUUUCGUCUUGUGAUGCGUUUGGCCAAGAAGGAGGAUGUUUCAUGCCUUUCCUGCAAUGCGAUCUGGACAUAUGCAGGCGUGACUGCAACGGUUUAUUUGCCUAUUGCACACCGAUAGGCGAAUUUCACCACCAAUGUUGUUGCGCUCCCAAGAAACUCAGUGCAUCUGUUGAUAAGAAUAGUCGUCCUUGA